UGUCCCCUCUCAACUGCAUGCUGAAUACUGGAUCCUAGACUCUUGAGAGCUAAAUAAAGUAUAUCUUUUAGCUGCAGUUUCAUAUUAAAAAUGAAUUUUUAACAAUCUGCAUAUUUAGAUGAAAUAUUAGGGAAUAGUUACUAAAUGUACAAAAUGGUAUAAGAAAUGUAUGUUCGUGUCCUCAUUAUACUCCAUUCCAUAAGGUAGUAAAAUACUUGUCUGUUUUUCUUACAGAAGUUGAUUCAAGUCAGUUGAGACGCCAGUUGUGUGGAGGAAGUCAGGCCGCCAUAGAAAGAAUGAUCCACUUUGGACGAGAGCUGCAAGCAAUGAGUGAACAGCUAAGGAGAGACUGUGGCAAGAACACUGCAAACAAAAAAAUGUUGAAGGAUGCAUUCAGUCUACUAGCAUAUUCAGAUCCCUGGAACAGCCCAGUUGGAAAUCAGCUUGACCCGAUUCAGAGAGAACCUGUGUGCUCAGCUCUUAACAGUGCAAUAUUAGAAACCCACAAUCUGCCAAAGCAACCUCCACUUGCCCUAGCAAUGGGACAGGCCACACAAUGUCUAGGACUGAUGGCUCGAUCAGGAAUUGGAUCCUGCGCAUUUGCCACAGUGGAAGACUACCUACAUUAGCUAUGCAUUUCAAGAGCUCACACUUAUAU
RNAcentral lists this long non-coding RNA (658 nucleotides) under Homo sapiens (human). RNAcentral's name for it is "non-protein coding lnc-GFOD1-3:1". The record is from RNAcentral. Lineage: Eukaryota; Metazoa; Chordata; Mammalia; Primates; Hominidae.